GUGGAUUAGAUACCCUGGUAGUCCACGCUGUAAACGAUGAAUACUAGGUGUGGGAGGACUGACCCCUUCCGUGCCGCAGUUAACACAAUAAGUAUUCCACCUGGGGAGUACGACCGCAAGGUUGAAACUCAAAGGAAUUGACGGGGGCCCGCACAAGCAGUGGAUUAUGUGGUUUAAUUCGACGCAACGCGAAGAACCUUACCAGGGUUUGACAUCCAACUAACGAAGUAGAGAUACAUUAGGUGCCCUUCGGGGAAAGUUGAGACAGGUGGUGCACGGUCGUCGUCAGCU
RNAcentral lists this ribosomal RNA (291 nucleotides) under uncultured bacterium. RNAcentral describes it as "partial 16S ribosomal RNA". It matches the Rfam family "Bacterial small subunit ribosomal RNA", at positions 773 to 1060 of the family's 1533-position model. The record is from RNAcentral.